CUCAAGUAGACUUAAAGGACCCCGUGGCCUUAAAGGACCCCGUGGCAGGGAAGUCUCAAGUGAACCUAAGGGACCCCGUGGCCUGUUUGGAAAUCUUUAUUGUGACAAACGGCCUUGCAACGGAGAAGGAGACAAUGGCCCAUGCGACUAUCCUACAUGCGAGUGUGUGCGAAGAGGUGAUGGCUUCUACUGCAGCUCUGUAAUUUAUUACUAAUAUCCUUAUUAAAAUCUAACGCCAGACA
Molecule: long non-coding RNA, 242 nt
Organism: Rhipicephalus microplus (southern cattle tick)
Lineage: Eukaryota; Metazoa; Arthropoda; Arachnida; Ixodida; Ixodidae
Source: RefSeq, a predicted model, not a curated record